AUUGGGGAAGGCAUGUGUCUAGUAUUACAAACCCUGGCAACAAACGCUAAUGUACAAUUUCCCAUUUGAAAUUACUUCCAAUAAUGUAGUACUUGUUACUGUUAAAGAAAUGAAGAAUUAUAGGCUGCAAGAGAACCAUCCUUUCUUUUUCUCAUCUUAACUCAGCACAGCAUCUGAUUAAUUACAUUAUUAAUCUCAUUGACUGCAAUUUUGCAGUAUAAAAGACGUGUGUAAUUUGAGUUCUGGGAGAAAUGGG
This 256-nucleotide unclassified non-coding RNA is filed under the name Hevea brasiliensis (rubber tree). The record is from RNAcentral. Lineage: Eukaryota; Viridiplantae; Streptophyta; Magnoliopsida; Malpighiales; Euphorbiaceae.